GUAAAGUUUGAUUUUGGUUUUUUUAUUCAUUAGUAAUUUCAUUUAUAUGUAGAUUUAUGUUGAAUUUUAAUUAAAAAUUAAUAAUUUAAAAGUUUAACAAUAAUUAAAUUUAAUAAAUUAAGGAGACUUAGAUUUAGGGAUAUUAUUUAAUAUAGUAAAAUUUUGUGCCAGCAUUCGCGGUUAAACAGGGGGAUAUAAGUGAAUAUAGAUUAAUUUAUAAUUAAUAAAAAAAAAUAAAAUAUUAAAUAUAAGUUGAAAAUUGUAGGGUGAAAUCUUAAUUUAUUUAUAUAUUAUUAAAAUUUUUAUUUUAUAUGAGGGUGUGAAAUUUUUUUAGUAAACUAGAAUUAGAUACUCUAUUAUUGAAAAUAUAAAUAAAUUAAAUUAGGGGAUUAAUAGAUAUGUUCUUGAAAUUCAAGAGAUUUGGCGGUACUUUAAUCUAAUUAGGGGAAUUUGUUUAUAAAAUGAUAGUCCGCAAGGAAUCUUACUUUAUUUGAUUAAUUUAUAUGUCGCCGUUUAGAGGGUGUUGAAAAAUUUUUUUAGAAACUUUCAAGGAUCUUUAUUAAGAAUAAAUUCAGGUAAGAUGUAGUUUAUAGUAAAGUUUAAAUGAAUUACAAUAAAAGUAUUUAUACGGAUGUUAAAUUGAAACAUUUAAUUGAAGGUGGACUUAAAAGUAAAUUUUAAUAUUAUAUAACGUUGAAUACAGUGCUAAGGUAUGUACAUAUCGCCCGUCGCUUUCGUUUAAAAAUGAGAUAAGUCGUAACAUAGUAGAUGUACUGGAAAGUGUAUCUAG
RNAcentral lists this non-coding RNA (790 nucleotides) under Blasticotoma sp. 'minuta'. Lineage: Eukaryota; Metazoa; Arthropoda; Insecta; Hymenoptera; Blasticotomidae. The record is from RNAcentral.